GCUCAGUGGUAGAGUGCAUGCUUAGCAUGCAUGAGGUCCUGGGUUCAAUCCCCAG
RNAcentral lists this transfer RNA (55 nucleotides) under Camelus bactrianus (Bactrian camel). It matches the Rfam family "tRNA", at positions 10 to 63 of the family's 71-position model. Rfam says of the family: Transfer RNA (tRNA) molecules are approximately 80 nucleotides in length. Their secondary structure includes four short double-helical elements and three loops (D, anti-codon, and T loops). Further hydrogen bonds mediate the characteristic L-shaped molecular structure. tRNAs have two regions of fundamental functional importance: the anti-codon, which is responsible for specific mRNA codon recognition, and the 3' end, to which the tRNAs corresponding amino acid is attached (by aminoacyl-tRNA synthetases). tRNAs cope with the degeneracy of the genetic code in two manners: having more than one tRNA (with a specific anti-codon) for a particular amino acid; and 'wobble' base-pairing, i.e. permitting non-standard base-pairing at the 3rd anti-codon position. The record is from Rfam by way of RNAcentral. Lineage: Eukaryota; Metazoa; Chordata; Mammalia; Artiodactyla; Camelidae. RNAcentral also lists the same sequence under 2 other names.